UUUAAAGCAGUUUUACUCUCAUUUAUUUAGUCCUCACCAUACAGACAGCUGACAGUGAGGAAUUCACACUGAUGUGGGAGGUGUCACUGAGGAGAUGAAAUUUGAGUUGCUCCUUAAAGAAUGAGUAAGAUUUGCUAGGUGAAGAUUGGUGAAAUGGCUUUGCAGACAGAAUAGCGACAGCGAAACAACAGGCGAAGUGUGAGAUGUGUCAUGGGAACACUAGUUACUCAGAUGUGUGAGUAUGUGUGUGUGUGGGUAGGUUUGUGUCAUGGGGUCCAUAUGAGGGGGUGUGGAAGGAGCUAAGUCAGUGCAAACUUUUAGCUCUGCAAGUUACAAAAUGUAAGAGGCUAAAAAAUGACUUGAAAUCUGAAAAUCGCAAUUCCUAAAGUAAAGGUAGAUCGUUUCUGUCAUUUAAAAUGUGUGGCAGGAAGAAAAGCAGCAUUUAUUGAGCUCCUGCUAUAUGACUUUAUAUCUAUUGUUGCAUUUAACCCUUAGAUCAGCUCUUUAAGAGGCUGAUUACUCUCAAUUUACAUGUGAGGAAAUGCAAGCUACAGAAAUUACCCUAGAAAGAUGAAGCCCAGCAGCAGGAUUCAAUCCAGGUUCAUCCAACUCCCCAGAUGGUAUUCUUUCCAUCACACCAUGCGGUCUCUCUGAAAUACCUAAGUGAUUCUCCUAUUACAACAAACAGUGGGACACCUCCCCACACAGACCGCUCUCACCACCACCACCAAAUAGCUCAGCAUAUUUGGAGAUAAAAACAAAGGAAGAGAAAUGAAAUACGCAUGUGAAAACUUUAUAGAUUAUUCUGCCCUAUUCGGCAGCCAUUAUGGGAUUGUUACUUGAUAUGAAUGUAGAGAUUUGCUACUUUGAAAGCCUUAAAGUUUCGCUAUUGUGGCCCACAGCUCUCUGGAUAUGGCAGUAUUUCUUGAACUAGCAAAAAAAGCUUAUUUUCUUCAGUAUGUGAAUCCACAUAAAGGUAUUUAUCCUAAACAGCUACUUCCUCCUUUACCAUGGACUGAUUUGGGAUUCAGCUUUGUUGCGAUGCCACAGGUGUUUUAGAUUUUGAUGGCCGCUUCCAAGUGUGGGUCUGAUGAGCUCUCCGCAUGCGCUGCCUGCCUGGGUGAGCGCUGGCCAGGCUGAGUAGGCUCAUUCAUCCAGGAGAUGGCCCUGCAGCUGAAAAGAGGAAGGUGUUAGAAGAGGUCAUCGAGAGGACGUGAGUGCUGGUUGACUCGAGAACUGGACCAGGGCAUUUGGAGGCUCUUCACCUUCUCCCCUGUCCUUGGAAUAAAUUGUGACAAGUUAUGCAUUUCAAAUAUCUGUGAUAAGACUGAGGAUUGACUCCACUUAAUUUGGAUCCUGAGUGUUACAAGAGGUGGACAGUAGCGACGCUUUGAGUUGACACUCAUCUCCCUGGCACUAACUCUACUUAGACACAUGGAUGGCUUCUUACUGAAAAUGUCUGUCAGCUCUUUGCCUGAGUAAUUCCGCUGGCUGUAAGAAAGUGCUUGACUUGUGUGUGGAACAGACUGAAAAUGAUUGAAAGUUAACAUCCCAGGAGCGGUCUUCAACCAGUUAUGGAUGGGCGUUGGCAGAGAAACUCCAUAGUUUCUUCACCCCUCAGGUAGGACAACUCCGAGAAGUGUUCCACGUAGUCUCCCAGUGGACCCUAAAAGAGGGAGCCCCAAUUCCUCACACUCGUAAACGGUUUAUUAAUGUAGACUAUGUUGGCUUUGUUCCCUUCCCUGUCUUACUUCCUCACUCCCUAUCCCUGCUUCUUGGAAUCAUUUCCCUAGUAAAUUAAUUUCAUGCAAAUUUUUGUCUCAAGGAAUACAACCUAAGACAAGUGGUAAAACAGGUCAGAGUUCUGACCUUCUACCACUUAUAGUCUAGUAGAGGAGAAGGGCAUGAAUCAAAUAAUUUCGUAGUAAUUGUAAAUUUGCAAUGUGACACUACUGAAAAGAAGACACAUUGAGGCAAUCUGAUUGUGUGUGUGUGUAUUGGGGUUAGGAAACAUUUUUCCCAAGGAAGGGAUGUUUGAGCUGAAAAGUGAAAAAUGAAAAGAGGUGGAGAUAGAGUUCUGUAUGAAAGAAUAACAUAUGCAAAGGGCCUGUGGCAGGAAGAGCAUGGUAUGUAGAGAGACUAAAGAAAGGCAGUGUGGCUGAAGCAGAGGAUGAUGGGGAGCUCAGUGGAAAAUGAGACCAGGAAGGUAGGUAGAAGCCAGAUGGUGUAGGGCUUUCUAGUGUCUUAUUUAUGUGAAGAGCUAUGAGGAGCCAUUGGGAGGGUAUAAUCAGUGGGAUCAUAUCAUCAGAUUUACAUUUCACAAAGAUCAUUUUGUCUGAUGUAUACAAAAGACAUAGGGAGUCAGUGGAAGGAUAUUUGGGUUUAGUCGAUACAGGAAUCUAGGUGAAAGGCUUUUUCUACUAUCAUUACGAGGAAUUGAUUGGAUCCCAGGGUUCAAACCAUGGCUCUGUAAUUUACUCAGUGAAUGAUCUUGGGCCAGCUACUUAACCUUCCAUGCUGAAAUUUCCUCAUACGUAAAAUAACUGUAACUAGAUGUUAUAAUCAUGAUUAGGAUACUGCCUGACACGUCGUAAACACAAUCCAAGUGUUGGGUACAAUUAACAUCAUUAUUAUUAUCUUCCAACAUGUAAUAGGUAACUGGUGAAUUUUUAAGCUGGGUUACUCUCCAGGGGCUUUCGUCUUGUUUGGUAUAUACAGUUGCUGCUUUAACAGCUAGUAUAGAGGAGGGCAGGGUGGCAGCAGGUCUGCCAUGAAAUGCAUGCCUUAGUGCUUAGCAGCUGAAUAACCUGGAGCCAGUCGCUUCCCUCCUGUUUCCUCCUCUCUGUUACGGGGAGGGGUCUAGGAUUAGUACCUAACUUCACUGCUUCACUGGGUUAUUGUAGGAAGAAACGGACUGCUCUCCAUCAAACGCAGGUCGAUCCAUGGCACAGUAUGCUUGCUAUCACUUGUAACUAUUCUGAUAAGCACUGAUAAUUGUCUCUUCCAGUCAUCAUUCUCAUCAGUUUAUUCCUCCUCCAUCGUGAUCUUGUUAUAACAAUUAAAUAAGGAGCUAAGAUAACACUGUUUUACCUUUGGAAAAGUCCUUAGAGUAGAAAACCCUGCAAAAGUGUAGCUAUUUUUACUACUUUGCUGCAAAUUUUACAUUUUAUACUCCUUUAAUGUCUUUAGAUUGUGAGCAUCACAUUGCCACUGCUAUAUUAUUAUUGCAGUAAAGUCCUCAUGAAAAUGACUCUUCCUCUGUAUUUCCGUGAGUAAAAUCAUCACUCUGAAGUGAAUGGUGUUGUCAAUUCCUAAGAACCUCCCAGAUAUUCUAUGCUUUUCUCUUUGGCUUCAGUGAUUUCAUUGUAAUUGUUAGCAAAAUACCACAUAUUUUGCUCGUAAGCAUGAAAACUUGAGUUCUUAUACAAUUAUCUUUCAAGGCCAGAUCCUAAUGUUUCAUGAGGUAGAAGAGAAACAUAUUUUUACUUGCAGCCUGUGUAUAAAAAAAAGAAUUAUGAGUACUCCUAUAAAAUUUUUAUUGAAGCCCAUUAAAUUUUUUGCAAGCAUUGUCUAUUUAUUGAGAGUGGCCUUUUUUUCUUUAAACUCUGGCAUGAUAUUGAGAUAUUGAGAAACAAUCUCCUCUCUUGGAGAGAAUUAGGUCAGCUCUUACUGUUUUAUGCUUUUAGUGCAUUUCUCUGUGUAUGUGCUUAUACUUUCUACAUAGGCUUUUUAAGUUUCUUUGACUAAUGACUGAAUUAAAAUUUCUCACAUUUAGAUAUGUGAAAUAUGAAAUUGAAGAUUGCUUCCUGUUUGUCUUUGCUUUACUAAACCACUGGGCAUAAUAUACAGUAGUUAUAAGAUUAUAAAAUUUAAUCUGACUAAUAAUAUGCAUUAUUAAUAUAUUUUAACAUAUUUUUAUGUUACAAAAAUAUUCCUGAAGUAUUUUGAUUAAGAAAUUUUCUUAUUAUUUUUAACUUAACUUUCCAGCUUCAAAAGGAGAUUUCUAAAAUCAGUUGAUUCUGCUUUUGAUGUUUUGAUAGUUUCUGCAGUCUCUUUUGGUCGUAUUAUCUAUCUAUGACACUUUAAUGAAAAUACUUUGAAAAUAGCAGAGUUGAUUUCUUUUAUAGUAACAGAUGUGCAUAAUGCUUACUUUAAUGUUCUUGCCUCGUAUCUGACAUGUUGCUCCAAAUCUUCAAUGGCUUGAUUAUUGUAAAACAUAUAGUAACAACUCUUGGAAACACCUAAAAACUUCUUGGGCAUUACAUUUUAUCUUGAGGGGGCAGGGGCCAUGGCCAUCAGUCUUGCUGUGGGUCCUGUCACAGAUUCUACCCUGAGGCACUGACAAGAGCUGAAACAGUCCUUUCUACUGUGAAGUUUCUUUGGUCUGUCCAUUCAACAGACAUGGCUGAAUAUUAAAAGAAAAAUCUAUGGGACCUUUAAAUAACCUUUAAGCUUCAAUAUGUGUAAUUCAUUGGGUGUUCAUUUCAGUAUCAAUUUCUGUGAAAAGACAUUUCAAAGAUGAAACAUGUAAAAUUCCGUUUCAGCUCAACUUUAACAAAUGAACAUUUGCAUUCAGUUUUGAUGAUAGAGAACACUAACUUGAAUCCCAGUCAAGAAAAUAUUAUCCCUUCCCAAAUAAUUACUUUAUUUUCAUUAGUAUACCUGUAUUAUAAGAAAAUUAUGUUCAAUUAUUAUGUUUUGAAUUCCGUAAGUAAAAAUUUUGGGAAAAUUUGUCUUCUCUCUUGCUAUAAAAGUGCCUACAUAAUGUCCUUGAUUUCGC
This 4780-nucleotide long non-coding RNA is filed under the name Equus caballus (horse). RNAcentral's name for it is "lncRNA (ENSECAG00000054253.1)". The record is from RNAcentral. Lineage: Eukaryota; Metazoa; Chordata; Mammalia; Perissodactyla; Equidae.